RNAcentral lists this ribosomal RNA (539 nucleotides) under uncultured Staphylococcus sp. Its description in RNAcentral is "bacterial SSU rRNA". It matches the Rfam family "Bacterial small subunit ribosomal RNA", at positions 981 to 1520 of the family's 1533-position model. Lineage: Bacteria; Bacillati; Bacillota; Bacilli; Caryophanales; Staphylococcaceae. The record is from RNAcentral.
UUGACCAUCCUUUUUGACAAACUCUAAGAGAUAAGAGCCUUUCCCCUUUCGGGGGGACAAAGUGACAGGUGGUGCAUGGUUGUCGUCAGCUCGUGUCGUGAGAUGUUGGGUUAAGUCCCGCAACGAGCGCAACCCUUAAGCUUAGUUGCCAUCAUUAAGUUGGGCACUCUAAGUUGACUGCCGGUGACAAACCGGAGGAAGGUGGGGAUGACGUCAAAUCAUCAUGCCCCUUAUGAUUUGGGCUACACACGUGCUACAAUGGACAAUACAAAGGGCAGCGAAACCGCGAGGUCAAGCAAAUCCCAUAAAGUUGUUCUCAGUUCGGAUUGUAGUCUGCAACUCGACUACAUGAAGCUGGAAUCGCUAGUAAUCGUAGAUCAGCAUGCUACGGUGAAUACGUUCCCGGGUCUUGUACACACCGCCCGUCACACCACGAGAGUUUGUAACACCCGAAGCCGGUGGAGUAACCAUUUGGAGCUAGCCGUCGAAGGUGGGACAAAUGAUUGGGGUGAAGUCGUAACAAGGUAGCCGACGGCUAC